ACCCAGCUCCAGCGCCAGCGCAGCCUCCUAGCCCACCAGCCCUUUGAGGAGCUCUUGGACCACUGGGUCUCGGCCUACCACCUGCUGGAGUGGCUGGUGGAGCAGCAGCAGCCCCUUCAAGAGUACAAGGGCAGGCACCAGCUGGGGAAGGCUGGUGUUGCCUUGUCGGCCACAUUCUGGAGCCCGGCAGACAGCCUCAGCAAGCUCCUGUAGCCCUUCCAGAUGGUGGUCCGCGAGGCGAGUGCGGCACAGGCCUCUCUGAGCCAGGUGCUGCCCCAGCUGCGCUACCUGCACAUCUUCCUGGAGCAGGUUCACACACACUUUCAGGAGCAGAGUGUCGGGGAGAGGGGCGCAGCCAUCCAGCUGGCUGAGGGGUUGGCCCGGCAGCUCUGCACCGACUGUCAGCUCAACAAGCUCUUCUACCGCGAGGAGUUUGUGCUGGCCACCUUGCUGGACCCUUGCUUCAAGGGGAAGAUUGAGGCCAUCCUGCCAUGGGGGCCGACCGACAUUGACCACUGGAAGCAAGUCCUCGUGUACAAGGUGAAGGAGAUUAGAGUGUCUGAAUACUCUUUGAACUCCCCAAGUCCCCUGCAAAGCCCCAGGGGUCUGUGCGUGGACCCCACCAGGGUAGCCAAGAGCUCCGGGGUGGAGGGGAGAAGCCAGGGGGAGCCUCUGCAGAGCAGCAGCCACUCUGGGGCCUUCCUGCUGGCCCAGAGGGAGAAGGGCUUGCUGGAGAGCAUGGGGCUGCUGGCCUCUGAGAGAAGCGGGGGCUCGCUGUCCACCAAGAGCCACUGGGCCAGCAUCAUUGUCAAGAAGUAUCUGUGGGAGAAUGAGACCGUUGGAGCCCAGGAUGACCCCCUGGCUUACUGGGAGAAGAAGCGAGAAGCCUGGCCACCAUCUAUCUGUCUUACCCCCCACAGGAGCCUUCUCUGAAAGCAUCUUUGCCUCCCUGAACAGCCCCACCCUUGUAGAGCAAAACUCUUCUCUCAAGGUGGAAGCCAUUGAGCAUCUCCUCUUCUUGAAGGCCAACCUGGAGCAGUUCCCCAACUACACCCCGCCUCCCCUCAUCUGCUCUAGUGGUGACCUGGCCAAGGGGAUACAGACCCUGCAGUCCGCUCAGGGUGGGAUGGCAGACAUGGCAGGUGCCGGUGCUCACCCUGCCCGUGAACUCCUAGAGAGCCCCUGCCUGUAAUAGGUCAAAGCAGAGAGCUGGGUGUUGCAUCCUGGGCGCCACAUGCUCAUGGCCAGAAUCUUAAACCUAUUUGGUAGGAAAGGGUCAGUUUCUCACUUGACAGAUUGCCAUAUUUUUUUUUCUGGGAGAUGUCAUUUUCCAUCUCCCGAUUACUUCCUUUACGUCUAGCAGUAUGUGCCGAGAAGAGGCUUACUCUCUUCGUAGGUGACUGUGAAUUUUGUACUACGUGGCUUUGUACAUGUGAUGCUCUGUUAAAACAUAAGUGGGUAUGAAGGUCCUUGCAUACACCUUGUCUGUGUGGAUAAGUGGACACAUGCCCUUAAGAGGCUUGCUUUCUCAAAAAGUGGCCAAGGAUGUGGAGUGGGCAUGUGCUGGCAGGUGGGAUAUGUCCUCAGCCUUUGGGGGCCUGGAUAAGCUAUUGCAGCACUUUCUGAGGCUUUCACUGUAGGGAGAAGGAAACCCCAAGGGUAGAAUAGCCAUUUCCAGAGGGAAGUACACACAUACCCCCACACACCAGUCUUUUUGGGGGUUUCAGAGUGGCCGGAGAAACCGACUGAAGGGACUGACCAGCUAGCUAGGAGAGCUGAGACGCCAGUCCUCAAAUGGCGUUCUUACCAAUAGUCUAUUUCCAGACUACUGGAAACGUUGGGGUUUCUUCCUCCAGUGACAGCAGCCUCAGUAGCUUUCCUGGGCUCCAGGCGGCUGGCUGCACACCCUGCCUGCCAUCACCCUUGCCCCUGCUUGUCCUGGACCACUUUUAAAGGGGAAGUCCCUUAUUUGGAAGAGAGAAAGGAUGUGUGUAGCACACACUCAUCAUGGAUUGCUCAGAGUUCCUUUAGGGCAGAGCUGAGGGCCUGGGAUCCAGGAACCAGUGGGAUUGGAUGGGAGAAGAAGGAAGGGGGUGGCCCGUCACCCCCGCAAGACUUGCAUCCAGGUAGCCUAAGGACUCCUGGUCACUGGGUAGGGUGGCUGCUGAGAUGCAGGUCGGAAGAGGCAGGGGAAGGCUCCAGGCCUAACUUGGAGCAUGUCACUGGCCAUGGGGGUGAGGGGACAGACUCUGCUCUCACUGGCUGGCAGCCCCAGGAGCCUGUUCCCUUGCCUCUCCUGGAUGGGUUGUCAGCCCUGUGUUUCACUGUGACCAAUUCAUUAUAACAUUUGGAUAUUACUGAAAAUGUAAGGAAGCAGGAAAAAUUAACUACUUUCAUUCAGAGAUAGCCUCUAUCAAUAGUUUGACAUUUUUCCCUCUUUUACAUUGAGAUCAUACCCUAGGUACUGUUUAGUAUGCAAUAUUUUCAUUUUCGCAGUAUAAUAAUUGCACCUGUUAAAUAAAGUUUUGUAAACAUUUAA
Homo sapiens (human) is the source of this 2539-nucleotide RNA transcript. It is a transcript of the gene named zinc finger BED-type containing 10, pseudogene, with no coding region annotated. NCBI's taxonomy places the organism in Eukaryota, Metazoa, Chordata, Mammalia, Primates, Hominidae. The transcript has a single exon. The record is from RefSeq and is marked validated.